RNAcentral lists this unclassified non-coding RNA (88 nucleotides) under Pseudomonas gessardii. The record is from RNAcentral. Lineage: Bacteria; Pseudomonadati; Pseudomonadota; Gammaproteobacteria; Pseudomonadales; Pseudomonadaceae.
AUACAAGCUGGCUUGCCCGCGAUGACGGUGUAUCAGUCGAUAAAUCUAUUGGCUGACCUGCCGCCAUCGCAGGCAAGCCAGCUCCCAC